This 2328-nucleotide unclassified non-coding RNA is filed under the name Hevea brasiliensis (rubber tree). Lineage: Eukaryota; Viridiplantae; Streptophyta; Magnoliopsida; Malpighiales; Euphorbiaceae. The record is from RNAcentral.
UGAGCAAGCAACGGUCGUUUAAAGCGAAGCGAGUUUCGCCUCUGGAAUCCAUUUACAGGGCUCUCUCCAGAGUUCAGUCUCGAUGAUCUCCUGCAAAGCUUCAAGCUUCGUAUUAGAAAAUCCCAUCUGCCAGCAGAAGGAGAAGAAUUAUUCUUUGAAAGGAGCAGUAGGAAAUUUCCAGCUGAGACCCUCUCAUUAUCAUCAUUAUCAGCCUGCAAUAAGAUGUUGUUCCUCAUCAAUUGAUGGUCAUUUGACAAGCACAAGUCAUGAUUAUCAUGACAAUGUCAAGAAGAAGAAGCUCCUCCAGACAGAAGAAAUUAGAAAGGUGAAUUGCCAAGUAGAAGUGAUAUCGUGGCGGGAACGUAGAAUUAAGGCCCAAAUUACUGUCAAUGCAGACAUUCAAUCCGUCUGGACUGCUCUCACUGACUACGAGCGUCUCGCUGAUUAUAUUCCGAAUCUCGUUUGCAGCGGGAGAAUUCCUUGCCCUCAUCCUGGGAGGAUAUGGUUAGAGCAGAGAGGCUUGCAGAGGGCACUCUAUUGGCAUAUUGAAGCUCGUGUUGUGUUGGAUCUACAAGAAUUUCCCAUUUCAGCUAAUAAUCAUGAACUGCACUUUUCGAUGGUUGAUGGAGACUUUAAGAAGUUUGAUGGCAAGUGGUCAUUAAAAUCAGGGGCAAGGCCUGGAAUGACACAAUUAUCAUAUGAAGUUAAUGUAAUUCCAAGGUUCAACUUUCCAGGUAUUUUCUUGGAGAGGAUUAUUAGAUCAGAUCUUCCUGUUAAUCUUCAAGCCUUGGCUUGUCAAGCAGAGAGAGAUUUUACAGGGAAUCAAAAGACAUCAAUUGCAGAAAGUGGAAAAUCCAUGGCCAUAUUUACUUCUCUGGACACAAGUCUACCUGAUGCUUUUAAUGAGAAGGAUAAUUUGUUUACUGGAGACUUUAAAGAGAGUUAUCCUGGCUCAAAUUUUGGCCCCAUGCCAUCAUCUUCAAGUGAGUUAAAUGCGAACUGGGGUGUGUUUGGAAAAGUUUGUAGACUUGACAGCCAUUGCACGGUGGAUGAAGUUCAUUUGCGCAGAUUUGAUGGCCUAUUGGAAAAUGGAGGGGUUCAUCGUUGUGUUGUUGCUAGCAUAACUGUUAAAGCUCCUGUUCGUGAAGUCUGGAAAGUUUUGACUGCUUACGAGAGUCUUCCUGAGCUUAUUGGGGUGAGAAAAUACUCUCAGAGAGCAUCUCAUGGCCAGCCAUGUUUGUAGAGUGAUUCCCAUAGGUGGCCAUGCGCGUUUCUUCAAUUCUACAUGUAGCCAUGCUUGUUCCUUCAGUCUCACAGGCAACUGUGAGAAUCUUAUAGCUGGAUAGUUCCAAACUUGGCCAUUAGUAAGAUUAUAUCACGAGAAAACAACAAAGUUCGCAUACUUCAGGAAGGAUGCAAGGGUCUGUUGUACAUGGUUCUUCAUGCACGGGUUGUUCUAGAUUUAUGUGAACAUUAUGAACAAGAGAUUAGUUUUGAGCAAGUAGAGGGGGACUUUGACUCAUUUCAGGGCAAGUGGCUUCUAGAGCAAUUAGGAAGUCAUCACACGCUACUGAAAUAUAGUGUGGAGUCCAAAAUGCAUAAAGAUUCUAUUCUUUCAGAAGCUAUCAUGGAGGAGGUACUUCAGCUUGACAUUUUCAAUGGAUUUUCGCUCUUUAAUCAUUUUAUGUAGAACUUCAGGAUAUAGUUUGGUAUGAUGGCAUGAGUGCUUAAAUUUUAAAUGUUCCUUUCUGUGGAAUGAUGAGCACUAUUUUGGCUUUAUAAGGAAGUUGAGUUUAUGAAAUUACUUCUGUUUGAGAAGUUUUGAAAAGCAAAAAAGAAAUUCAGUUGCCUAAUUAUGUUCUCAAGGCCAAUGAACAAAAAAGUCAAAUGUUUGCACCAAUGUGCACUUUUAUCCAAAAGUUUUAAUUUUGGACUGGUUAUCCAAAACUUUAAAUUUUGGAAAAAAAAAUUAGCCAAAAUUGAAGAUCAAUUGACCAAUUGACAACAUUACACUUGAGCUAUGUUUUUAUUAAUGCUUAACAGAACACUUGUGAUCUUAUUUCACAAAAUCCUCACGUGCAAAAUCAAAUUCUCCCCAAAUUGAAUUUCAGUUUUGGCUAAAAUUUCUUCAAAAUUGAAUGUUUUGAAUAAUUGGUGAUAUGACUUGGUUCAAAUAUUUGGCUUUUCUGGUCCAGAAGGCCUUUUUGCAAAGAUUUUUGUGACUAAUAGAUGCUCACAUGCUUCAAUUAUGAAAUGACAGCCUUCAAGCGGACAUUUAUAGAUAAUUGUUAUAGGAAGUCAAUAUAGAUAAUUGUUAUAGGAAGUCAA